Molecule: ribosomal RNA, 287 nt
Filed under: Briza minor
Lineage: Eukaryota; Viridiplantae; Streptophyta; Magnoliopsida; Poales; Poaceae
Description: partial 18S ribosomal RNA
Rfam family: Eukaryotic small subunit ribosomal RNA
Source: RNAcentral
AUCUUGGGAAAUUUCAUCGUGAUGGGGAUAGAUCAUUGCAAUUGUUGGUCUUCAACGAGGAAUGCCUAGUAAGCGCGAGUCAUCAGCUCGCGUUGACUACGUCCCUGCCCUUUGUACACACCGCCCGUCGCUCCUACCGAUUGAAUGGUCCGGUGAAGUGUUCGGAUCGCGGCGACGGUGGCGGUUCGCCGCCCCCGACGUCGCGAGAAGUCCAUUGAACCUUAUCAUUUAGAGGAAGGAGAAGUCGUAACAAGGUUUCCGUAGGUGAACCUGCGGAAGGAUCAUUG